ACACAGGGAAGGAGGUGAUCCGAGAAGUGAUUUCUGAUCGGACAUGUGAGGUGGCUCGGCGCUGAGGCGCCCGUCCCACGGACGCGCAGCGAAUACCACCGAGCUGCCCGGACCCGCAGGUGGUCGGACCUCGUCCUUCCGACCAGCGC
Molecule: small RNA, 149 nt
Filed under: Brachybacterium massiliense
Lineage: Bacteria; Bacillati; Actinomycetota; Actinomycetes; Micrococcales; Dermabacteraceae
Description: Actinobacteria sRNA Ms_IGR-5
Rfam family: Actinobacteria sRNA Ms_IGR-5
Source: RNAcentral